AAUUAAUCCUAUCUCCGAGCCGGAUCAACCUAAUGAGUAAUCUAUGGUAACCGGCCAGGGCUUAAAGCCCUCGGGGUGUACCUGGAAACGGGUAUGCCUUCACUAUUGAAAAGGAGGUGACCAGGCCAGUUA
Regulatory RNA element from Desulfosporosinus sp. Tol-M, 132 nucleotides. It matches the Rfam family "Molybdenum/Tungsten riboswitch aptamer (Moco RNA motif)". NCBI's taxonomy places the organism in Bacteria, Bacillati, Bacillota, Clostridia, Eubacteriales, Desulfitobacteriaceae. The record is from Rfam.